This is a long non-coding RNA of Diabrotica virgifera virgifera (western corn rootworm), 1453 nucleotides long. RefSeq lists it as uncharacterized. The transcript is spliced from 3 exons. Lineage: Eukaryota; Metazoa; Arthropoda; Insecta; Coleoptera; Chrysomelidae. The record is from RefSeq and is a predicted model, not a curated record.
UGUGGUGUCGAAUAGAUAUACCAUAUAGAAUGGCGGAUGAUUUCCUCCAACUUAUUUUAUCACAUAAGAAAUUUAACGUAAAGUAAAAAGUUACCACCAGGGAUUGUCUGGAGUGAGGAGACAUGUGGGUGACAACUCCUGUUGGAGUAUAAAUAGGAAUCAUUCGCCAUUUGGGAGAAACCCUACCAUGAAGUCAUAGACCUUAUUUGACCACCUAGAGAAACCACUACAGCCACAGUCAAGUCAUCAUGGGAGUAUGUCUAAUUGGGAGCAAGCUAUGGGAGCGUUCCAGCUCAGUUUUCGUCUCGGCACCUGGGCCUACAGGAGUCAUGGGUCGCACCAUCCUGGUGCAUCAUUUUCUAGGAUGCAACCGCAACCUUUUUAGGAAUCAUUGGGAUUCGUUUGGAAACAAUUAGUGUGUUUUAGUAACUAUUGGUUUUUUUUUACAUUUCAGACUCUCGGUUUAAUGCGCUAUGUUAAUUAAUUUUUUUUCCAGAUUUAGUUUACCUCUGGUUUUUUUUUAAUAUGACAUAUUUGUAUAUUAGAUUAUUUGGUUCCCAAACUUUGUAUCUACGGUAACUUCUUGUGCACAGGAAUAAGCCUAGAGAAAAUUAGGUUUUUAAUACUUUAUUAUUGCUUUGAUAUUGGUUUAUGUAAUUCGGGUAAAUUUAUUUUGUAAUAUUACUUGCUUGUUUCCCAAAUAUUUUACUGUUAUUCGCUUUAUUCCAUUUGUUCGGUUAAUUUAGGUCAUCGUCGGUAUUUAUCUCAACUUCAUUUCUACUUUAGUCAAUUGUAUAUUUAACUUUAUUUAUUCAUUAUUGUAUUUUCCCUUAGUGAGGCUUGGGCCUAUUUAUUUGUAGUAUUUUCAUCUUUGUCAGUUUCAUUUAGUUGUACGUAGCAGGCGUACUAUAACCAUUUGGUAGAAGACUUAUGUAAUUUUGUACCCUAUAUAUAUGUAAGAGGUAUUUAAGUUUAUAACAGAUAACAUUAUUGUUGUUAUCUUUAAAAAAUAUAUAACUUUUUGUAUAACUUAUGUCAUUUUAGAGUCACAUGAUAUACACUUUGUGUAACUCAGAGAUUGUCAAAAAUCUAGUAGUUAUUUUUAAUAAAUAUGUAUUUAUUUUGUAUAUCAAUUAUUUUAUUAUUCCUUUAUGUUCAUUAUUACAGGUUUGAUAUUUAAUAUUUGACAGCAGUAUAAGAUACCUGGGAAAAUGAUCGAAGAUCAUUUUCAUGGCGCCCAUAAUUAGUUAGUUUUAUUUAUUUUGUUCGUUUUUAGUCAUUAUUCAUCUCCAUUCAUUUUCAGUAUAUUAUUCUUAUUUUAUUAUUUCAUCUUCUAGUCAUCAUUACUAUCUAUAUAGAGCUACUGUUCUUCGACAGGCAUGCAAACGAGCCGUAUCCAUCCUUGAGUGUCAAGUUGCUCUCUUGCAUCUAUAGCUAGCCAACUCUAUUCAGU